UCCGGUGGCAAUAGCGGAGGUUAAAAACCCGUUCCCAUACCGAACACGGAAGUGAAGCCCUCCAGCGCCGAUGGUACUGAUUACUCGGAAGAGUAGGUCGCUGCCGGUA
Molecule: ribosomal RNA, 109 nt
Filed under: Thermoanaerobacterium sp. CMT5567-10
Lineage: Bacteria; Bacillati; Bacillota; Clostridia; Thermoanaerobacterales; Thermoanaerobacteraceae
Source: RNAcentral